UCUUCCUGAUGAGUCAGCAAGUG
RNAcentral lists this non-coding RNA (23 nucleotides) under Cricetulus griseus (Chinese hamster). The record is from RNAcentral. Lineage: Eukaryota; Metazoa; Chordata; Mammalia; Rodentia; Cricetidae.